CCUACGGGAGGCAGCAGUGAGGAAUAUUGGUCAAUGGACGAGAGUCUGAACCAGCCAAGUAGCGUGAAGGAUGACUGCCCUAUGGGUUGUAAACUUCUUUUAUAUGGGAAUAAAAUGUUCCACGUGUGGGAUUUUGUAUGUACCAUAUGAAUAAGGAUCGGCUAACUCCGUGCCAGCAGCCGCGGUAAUACGGAGGAUCCGAGCGUUAUCCGGAUUUAUUGGGUUUAAAGGGAGCGUAGGUUGAUUGUUAAGUCAGUUGUGAAAGUUUGCGGCUCAACCGUAAAAUUGCAGUUGAAACUGGCAGUCUUGAGUACAGUAGAGGUGGGCGGAAUUCGUGGUGUAGCGGUGAAAUGCUUAGAUAUCACGAAGAACUCCGAUUGCGAAGGCAGUUCACUGGACUGCAACUGACACUGAGGCUCGAAAGUGUGGGUAUCAAACAGGAUUAGAUACCCCAGUC
RNAcentral lists this ribosomal RNA (457 nucleotides) under uncultured bacterium. RNAcentral describes it as "partial 16S ribosomal RNA". It matches the Rfam family "Bacterial small subunit ribosomal RNA", at positions 338 to 792 of the family's 1533-position model. The record is from RNAcentral.